Long non-coding RNA from Agrilus planipennis (emerald ash borer), 474 nucleotides. RefSeq lists it as uncharacterized. NCBI's taxonomy places the organism in Eukaryota, Metazoa, Arthropoda, Insecta, Coleoptera, Buprestidae. The transcript has 3 exons. The record is from RefSeq and is a predicted model, not a curated record.
AGCGAAGUGGCAACAUUCUACUAAUAUGAACAAAUUGUCUACUUGAAGUUAUUGAAUCCAAAAUUUAUGUAUUUACUGAUGCGUAUUUCGAAAUGGAUUUUUCUACAUCUAGGUCUUCAACAAUUUGCUGAAACAUCUACUUUAUUAAUUUUUAGAACUUGUUGAACAUGGCAGAAACAAGUAUUAAAUAAUUCUGAAGUGUUGUCAACUGCCUGAAUUAAAGCUCUAGAUAUUUGAGUGCUGGAUAUUAUGUUGAGUUCUAUAGACGGGUCAAAGUCUGUCCAAAGUUGCUAAAAUUGCACUAGCUGUUAAAAAAAUGAAUUUUGUCAACGCUGCGAACAACAAAUCUACUUUCGUAUCAAAUCCACAGAAAAGCAAGGAAUCCUCUUAAGAUUUAUCUAUCGAAAAAUUAUCAGGAUCAAAACUGAAUAGAUGAACUUUACAAGAAGUAUCAAUGGUUCGAUUUCCGCCUGA